This 433-nucleotide ribosomal RNA is filed under the name uncultured bacterium. RNAcentral describes it as "partial 16S ribosomal RNA". It matches the Rfam family "Bacterial small subunit ribosomal RNA", at positions 29 to 507 of the family's 1533-position model. The record is from RNAcentral.
AACGAACGCUGGCGGCAUGCCUAACACAUGCAAGUCGAACGAGACCUUCGGGUCUAGUGGCGCACGGGUGCGUAACGCGUGGGAACCUGCCCUUAGGUUCGGAAUAACUCCCCGAAAGGGGUGCUAAUACCGGAUAAUGUCUUCGGACCAAAGAUUUAUCGCCUUUGGAUGGGCCCGCGUUGGAUUAGCUAGUUGGUAGGGUAAAAGCCUACCAAGGCGAGGAUCCAUAGCUGGUCGGAGAGGAUGAUCAGCCACACUGGGACUGAGACACGGCCCAGACUCGUAGGGGAGGCAGCAGUGGGGAAUAUUGGACAAUGGGCGAAAGCCUGGUCCAGCAAUGCCGGGUGAGUGAUGAAGGCCUUAGGGUUGUAAAGCUGUUUUACCCGGGAUGAUAAUGACAGUACCGGGAGAAUAAGCUCCGGCUAACUCCGUG